Molecule: ribosomal RNA, 520 nt
Filed under: uncultured bacterium
Lineage: Bacteria
Description: bacterial SSU rRNA
Rfam family: Bacterial small subunit ribosomal RNA
Source: RNAcentral
GAUGAGCAUGCGUCCCAUUAGCUAGUUGGUAAGGUAACGGCUUACCAAGGCUACGAUGGGUAGGGGUCCUGAGAGGGAGAUCCCCCACACUGGUACUGAGACACGGACCAGACUCCUACGGGAGGCAGCAGUGAGGAAUAUUGGACAAUGGGCGCAAGCCUGAUCCAGCCAUGCCGCGUGCAGGAUGACGGUCCUAUGGAUUGUAAACUGCUUUUAUACGAGAAGAAACACUCCUUCGUGAAGGAGCUUGACGGUAUCGUAAGGAUAAGGAUCGGCUAACUCCGUGCCAGCAGCCGCGGUAAUACGGAGGAUCCAAGCGUUAUCCGGAAUCAUUGGGUUUAAAGGGUCCGUAGGCGGUUUAGUAAGUCAGUGGUGAAAGCCCAUCGCUCAACGGUGGAACGGCCAUUGAUACUGUUAGACUUGAAUUAUUAGGAAGUAACUAGAAUAUGUAGUGUAGCGGUGAAAUGCUUAGAGAUUACAUGGAAUACCAAUUGCGAAGGCAGGUUACUACUAAUUGAUU